GGAAUAUUGCACAAUGGGCGCAAGCCUGAUGCAGCCAUGCCGCGUGUGUGAAGAAGGCCCUAGGGUUGUAAAGCACUUUAAGCAGGGAAGAAGGCUAUACGGUUAAUACCCGUGUAGAUUGACAUUACCUGCAGAAUAACCACCGGCACACACCGUGCCAGCAGCCGCGGUAACACGGAGGGUGCAAGCGUUAAUCGGAAUUACUGGGCGUAAAGCGCGUGGAGGCGGUCUGUUAAGCGAGGUGUGAAAGCCCCGGGCUUAACCUGGGAAUUGCAUUUCGAACUGGCAGGCUAGAGUGUAGAAGAGGGGUGUGGAAUUUCCGGUGUAGCGGUGAAAUGCGUAGAGAUCGGAAGGAACAUCAGUGGCGAAGGCGACACCCUGGUCUAACACUGACGCUGAGGUGCGAAAGCGUGGGUAGCAAA
This 422-nucleotide ribosomal RNA is filed under the name uncultured bacterium. Its description in RNAcentral is "bacterial SSU rRNA". It matches the Rfam family "Bacterial small subunit ribosomal RNA", at positions 358 to 772 of the family's 1533-position model. The record is from RNAcentral.